RNAcentral lists this ribosomal RNA (478 nucleotides) under uncultured bacterium. RNAcentral describes it as "partial 16S ribosomal RNA". It matches the Rfam family "Bacterial small subunit ribosomal RNA", at positions 28 to 523 of the family's 1533-position model. The record is from RNAcentral.
GACGAACGCUGGCGGCGUGCUUAACACAUGCAAGUCGAACGGUAAGGCCCUUCGGGGUACACGAGUGGCGAACGGGUGAGUAACACGUGGGUGAUCUGCCCUGCACCUCGGGAUAAGCCUGGGAAACUGGGUCUAAUACCGGAUAGGACCCUGGGAUGCAUGUCCUGGGGUGGAAAGCUUUUGCGGUGUGGGAUGGGCCCGCGGCCUAUCAGCUUGUGGGUGGGGUGAUGGCCUACCAAGGCGACGACGGGUAGCCGGCCUGAGAGGGUGACCGGCCACACUGGGACUGAGAUACGGCCCAGACUCCUACGGGAGGCAGCAGUGGGGAAUAUUGCACAAUGGGCGCAAGCCUGAUGCAGCGACGCCGCGUGAGGGAUGACGGCCUUCGGGUUGUAAACCUCUUUCAGCACCGACGAAGCGCAAGUGACGGUAGGUGCAGAAGAAGGACCGGCCAACUACGUGCCAGCCGCCGCGGUAA